This 585-nucleotide ribosomal RNA is filed under the name uncultured bacterium. RNAcentral's name for it is "partial 16S ribosomal RNA". It matches the Rfam family "Bacterial small subunit ribosomal RNA", at positions 355 to 1375 of the family's 1533-position model. The record is from RNAcentral.
UGGGGAAUUUUGGACAAUGGGCGCAAGCCUGAUCCAGCAAUGCCGCGUGCAGGAUGAAGGCCUUCGGGUUGUAAACUGCUUUUGUACGGAACGAAAAGGCUCUGGCUAAUACCUGGGGCACAUGACGGUACCGUAAGAAUAAGCACCGGCUAACUACGUGCCAGCAGCCGCGGUAAUACGUAGGGUGCGAGCGUUAAUCGGAAUUACUGGGCGUAAAGCGUGCGCAGGCGGUUUUGUAAGACAGAGGUGAAAUCCCCGGGCUCAACCUGGGAACUGCCUUUGUGACUGCAAGGCUGGAGUGCGGCAGAGGGGGAUGGAAUUCCGCGUGUAGCAGUGAAAUGCGUAGAUAUGCGGAGGAACACCGAUGGCGAAGGCAAUCCCCUGGGCCUGCACUGACGCUCAUGCACGAAAGCGUGGGGAGCAAACAGGAUUAGAUACCCUGGUAGUCCACGCCCUAAACGAUGUCAACUGGUUGUUGGGUCUUAAUUGACUCAGUAACGAAGCUAACGCGUGAAGUUGACCGCCUGGGGAGUACGGCCGCAAGGUUGAAACUCAAAUGAAUUGACGGGGUCAUAGCUGUUUCCU